GACGAACCGUGCGAACGUUGUUCGGAAUCACUGGGCUUAAAGGGCGCGUAGGCGGGCGGGCAAGUCAGGGGGGAAAUCCCACGGCUCAACCGUGGAAGUGCCUUUGAUACUGCCGGUCUGGAGGGAGGUAGGGGCGUGCGGAACUUCCGGUGGAGCGGUGAAAUGCGUAGAUAUCGGAAGGAACACCGGUGGCGAAAGCGGCGCGCUGGACCUCUACUGACGCUGAGACGCGAAAGCGUGGGGAGCAAACAGG
RNAcentral lists this ribosomal RNA (253 nucleotides) under uncultured bacterium. RNAcentral describes it as "partial 16S ribosomal RNA". It matches the Rfam family "Bacterial small subunit ribosomal RNA", at positions 524 to 776 of the family's 1533-position model. The record is from RNAcentral.